UUACGGCCACACCACGUUGAAACAUCGCUCCUUGUACGAUCACUGAAGUUAAGCAACAUCAAGCCUAGUUAGAACCUAGAUGGUGACCGCUUGGGAAUACCAGGUGCUGUAA
Acanthosepion pharaonis is the source of this 112-nucleotide non-coding RNA. The record is from the annotation of a GenBank genome assembly. Lineage: Eukaryota; Metazoa; Mollusca; Cephalopoda; Sepiida; Sepiidae.